Molecule: ribosomal RNA, 433 nt
Filed under: uncultured bacterium
Lineage: Bacteria
Description: partial 16S ribosomal RNA
Rfam family: Bacterial small subunit ribosomal RNA
Source: RNAcentral
AACGAACGCUGGCGGCAUGCCUAACACAUGCAAGUCGAACGAGACCUUCGGGUCUAGUGGCGCACGGGUGCGUAACGCGUGGGAACCUGCCCUUAGGUUCGGAAUAACUCCCCGAAAGGGGUGCUAAUACCGGAUAAUGUCUUCGGACCAAAGAUUUAUCGCCUUUGGAUGGGCCCGCGUUGGAUUAGCUAGUUGGUAGGGUAAAAGCCUACCAAGGCGACGAUCCAUAGCUGGUCUGAGAGGAUGAUCUGCCACACUGGGACUGAGACACGGCCCAGACUCCUACGGGAGGCAGCAGUGGGGAAUAUUAGACAAUGAGCGAAAGCCUGAUCCAGCAAUGCCGCGUGAGUGAUGAAGGCCUUAGUGUUGUAAAGCUCUUUUACCCGGGAUGAUAAUGACAGUACCGGGAGAAUAAGCUCCGGCUAACUCCGUG